AGCCGAAUUAAACACGGAUCUGCGAGACGUACUUCAGCUUUCGUGAGAUCCGCCAGUGUUUUGCAAG
This 67-nucleotide small nucleolar RNA is filed under the name Leishmania infantum JPCM5. Its description in RNAcentral is "Trypanosomatid snoRNA TB9Cs3H1". It matches the Rfam family "Trypanosomatid snoRNA TB9Cs3H1". The record is from Rfam by way of RNAcentral. Lineage: Eukaryota; Euglenozoa; Kinetoplastea; Trypanosomatida; Trypanosomatidae.